Long non-coding RNA from Cornus florida, 1357 nucleotides. RefSeq lists it as uncharacterized. The record is from RefSeq and is a predicted model, not a curated record. NCBI's taxonomy places the organism in Eukaryota, Viridiplantae, Streptophyta, Magnoliopsida, Cornales, Cornaceae. The transcript has 5 exons.
UGUACCAUUUAUUUCUAAUUUACCAUUUUGCUAACUAUUGAAGCCUUCGACCAUGAACCUGUUCUGGCCGUCUCUCAUCUGCUUUACUCCAUUUCUCAACUGCUAGAGCCGUUAUCCUCUUCUCUGUCUGUUUCAGACCUAAUCGAGCCCCCUUUCUUAUAUCGAAGCCUUCACAACGUUUCUCUCUCCUCUACUCUCUCUCUUUCUUCCAACCGUCUUCGACCAUGAAUCUGUUCGUCGAAUAAAGAGACGGGGAGAGAAAGGCAUAUCACAAACUCUCUCUCCGUCGAUCCCCAUAUAUCUAUAGGAGUUGGGCGGAGGAGUUCAAUUUUUGAAGAGGAUGCCUACGAGCAGGCUAGGGAUUUCAAUUUUGUUGAUGUAUUUACGAAAUUAGGGUUAGGGCUUUGAUGUGUAGUACAAAAUUGGGGUUAGGGUGGGGCGACGACGCCGGUGAACCAGGUGUGGCAAGGCACGAGUUUCAGUGAAGCUCUAGUAUUCCGGCAAGGUAUGAGUUUCAGACAGAGCAACGAUGGCACCGGAGGAGGAGACUCGAGGAUUAAGAAGAGAAAUGGAAGUGCUCUGAUUUCAAUUCUUGAUGGAGCAGAAGGCUACUGCAAUUCAACAAAGUAACAGGCUUCGUCAGGAACUGCAAAUGGUUUAUUAAAGGGAGCGCAAACCAAGCUAUCCACACCUGAUCGAGGAGGUGCAAGAGUUUGAGAUAUCAAAUUGCCUAUUUCCACAACAUUUGUUCUUUAAUUGUUCUUUUUCCCAUAAAGUUUGGAAUUCAGUGGCUGAGGCAAUUUCUCUUAACUGGCAUAGCAUGACGAAUUUGAAUGAUAUUAUUGCUUGGACUUCUGCUAACUGUCAAGUUAAGAAGAAUUGGUCCCAUCAGCUGCACAAAAUUUCCCUUGCUUCAUUGUUGCUCGUGAUGCCAUUAGGAUCACUUCUCUCUAUAUUGGUUGGGGACUUGAUGGCUCAGUUUGGAUUUCAUCGGAACUGAAAGGUUUGAAUGAUGAUUGUGAGCACUGCGAGAGUUUUCCUCCUGGUCACUUAUACUAGAGCAAACAGGGAGGCCUUCGCCAAUGGUACAACUUCUCUGAGGCUAUUCCAUCAACGCCAUAUGAUCCACUUGAUCUAUAAGGCGUGCUUUUGAAAAUGUUAGAUUCACGAACUUUUUACCAUUAUUUAUAAAAAUUAUGAGUCAUUUUAAUCAUUGGCUUUUUACCACUUGUUCAGGAAGGUUGACUAUGUAUGCUUUAUGAAUGUUUGAAGGAGGAAUUAUGGAGUUGUAUUUGUUCCUUGUGAAGUAGGAAGUUGUACGUGUUGGUUGUGAUCUUAGAAGUUAUAUGCUUUAUAA